AGCAGCCGCGGUAAUUCCAGCUCCAAUAGCGUAUAUUAAAGUUGUUGCAGUUAAAAAGCUCGUAGUUGAAUUUCGGGAUCAAAGGAUCGGUCAUGCCUUGGUAUGUACUGGUUUUAUUGGUUCUCACCUUCUAAAGAACCAUAAUGUCAUUCAUUUGAUGUUAUGGGGAAUUAGGACUGUUACCUUAAAAAAUUAGAGUGUUUAAAGCAGGCUUACGCUUGAAUACAUUAGCAUGGAAUAAUGAAAUAGGACAUCAGAUUCUAUUUUGUUGGUUUCUAGGAUCGAUGUAAUGAUUAAUAGGGAUAGUUGGGGGCAUUAGUAUUCAAUUGUCAGAGGUGAAAUUCUUGGAUUUAUUGAAGACUAACUACUGCGAAAGCAUUUGCCAAGGAUGUUUUCAUUAAUCAAGAACGAAGGUUAGGGGGUCGAAGACGAUCAGAUACCGUCGUAGUCUUAACCAUAAACUAUGCCGACUAGGGAUCGGAUGAUGUUAAUUUUAUAAUGACUCAUUCGGCACCUUACG
This 520-nucleotide unclassified non-coding RNA is filed under the name uncultured Glomus. RNAcentral's name for it is "SSU rRNA". It matches the Rfam family "Eukaryotic small subunit ribosomal RNA", at positions 569 to 1092 of the family's 1831-position model. Lineage: Eukaryota; Fungi; Glomeromycota; Glomeromycetes; Glomerales; Glomeraceae. The record is from RNAcentral.